AUUUACAUCUCAUUUGAUCCGCCCCGACUCUCACACCAAUCACACUGGAGAAGGCUUAACAGUAGUAUUUUCACAUGGACGCCCACCUGCGUUAAUCCAUCGCGGAUUAUUAAAAUAAAGAGACGGCGACUGAAAAUAACUUUUAUUUCAAUGGUGGGGGAGGAGAGUUUGGUUUUGCUGGAAACGAUUUCAUUCAUUUAGAGCAAGAGUCAAUGCUCAUAUGUAGGGCGCUGUCACUUGAGGAGUCUGUGCCUUUGCCUUUUAGCGUUAUAUUCUGUGUGUAACAUGGACACGCUGGAAAUCCACAACAGUCCAACGUGCGCCACAGGUCUGUGGGCGGAUUAGCAAGGGGGGUUCUUGUAUGGCACGACCGUGCGUUUUCUUUUGGGGUAAGAAAUGUACAAAAUGGAGGCGGCUCGCAGUCGGCAGGGUGUGGUAUCGGGAGGCAGAGGAUGCGGAAGAGUGCAAAGUCGUGUUUGACAAAACAGCAGAAGAACAACGUGGUGAAGGCGGAGUUUGGAACGAACUCGACGCAUGAUAUUUAAAGGGGCGGAUCUAACGCUGGAGUCGAGCCAUAGUCAGUUACAGGUCGACUUGUGGAAUAAGGUGCUGGAGCAGAUUGAGAGAAGCCAUUAACAGCAAUACAUGGAAGUGUUGAAAGGCGCGGAGGACGAAAGUUAAUGUUUGAAAAUUAAAAUAAAAUGUAUUUAUAGAUUAUA
Molecule: non-coding RNA, 719 nt
Organism: Chiloscyllium plagiosum (whitespotted bambooshark)
Lineage: Eukaryota; Metazoa; Chordata; Chondrichthyes; Orectolobiformes; Hemiscylliidae
Source: RefSeq, a predicted model, not a curated record